UACAGAGGGUGCGAGCGUUGUCCGGAAUCACUGGGCGUAAAGGGCGCGUAGGCGGCCACGCACGUCCGUUGUGAAAUCGCCCGGCUCAACUGGGCGGGGUCAGCGGAUACGGCGCGGCUGGAGCAAGCUAGGGGGCAAUGGAAUUCCCGGUGUAGUGGUGGAAUGCGUAGAUAUCGGGAGGAACACCAGUGGCGAAGGCGGUUGCCUGGAGCUUUGCUGACGCUGAGGCGCGAAAGCGUGGGGAGCGAUCCGG
This 253-nucleotide ribosomal RNA is filed under the name uncultured bacterium. RNAcentral describes it as "partial 16S ribosomal RNA". It matches the Rfam family "Bacterial small subunit ribosomal RNA", at positions 524 to 776 of the family's 1533-position model. The record is from RNAcentral.